This 368-nucleotide transfer-messenger RNA is filed under the name Georgenia satyanarayanai. Its description in RNAcentral is "Oceanitalea nanhaiensis Standard tmRNA". It matches the Rfam family "transfer-messenger RNA". Rfam says of the family: Bacterial tmRNA, also known as 10Sa RNA or SsrA, is named for its dual tRNA and mRNA-like properties. Its role is to liberate the mRNA from a stalled ribosome. The record is from Rfam by way of RNAcentral. Lineage: Bacteria; Bacillati; Actinomycetota; Actinomycetes; Allobogoriellales; Allobogoriellaceae.
GGGGAUGAUCGGUUUCGACGACGGUCGUCGUGCCAGAGGAAGCGGGUCGAGGAUGCAGAGUUAUCUCGAUAACGCCCUCUGCAAACCAAUAGGUGCCGAUUCCAAGCGCACCGACUUCGCCCUCGCCGCCUGAGCGAGCCGCGUAAGUCCGUCAGCCCGGGCUAGCUCUCGACCCGGUUCCUGGCGUCAGCUAGAGAGCCACUGCUCGUAGUCCUUGUCACCGGGGCUACGGGGACUUCCAGGUGACUGAGCCCGUCAGCUGCUUGUCUGCGUGACAGCUGGGGCCGAGAAAAUCGCAGCAGACUGCACCCGGAGAAGCUCUGGUUCUGCGCCGUCGGACGCGGGUUCGAUUCCCGCCAUCUCCACCA